GACGAACGCUGGCGGCGUGCCUAAUACAUGCAAGUCGAGCGAACAGAUGAGGAGCUUGCUCCUCUGACGUUAGCGGCGGACGGGUGAGUAACACGUGGGCAACCUGCCCUUAAGACUGGGAUAACUCCGGGAAACCGGGGCUAAUACCGGAUAAUUGAAAGAACCUCCUGGUUCUUUUAUGAAAGGCGGCUUCGGCUGUCACUUAAGGAUGGGCCCGCGGCGCAUUAGCUAGUUGGUGAGGUAACGGCUCACCAAGGCAACGAUGCGUAGCCGACCUGAGAGGGUGAUCGGCCACACUGGGACUGAGACACGGCCCAGACUCCUACGGGAGGCAGCAGUAGGGAAUCUUCCGCAAUGGACGAAAGUCUGACCGAGCAACGCCGCGUGAGUGAAGAAGGUUUUCGGAUCGUAAAACUCUGUUGUUAGAGAAGAACAAGGGUGAGAGUAACUGUUCACCCCUUGACGGUAUCUAACCAGAAAGCCACGGCUAACUACGUGCCAGCAGCCGCCGUAAAAC
RNAcentral lists this ribosomal RNA (517 nucleotides) under uncultured bacterium. RNAcentral describes it as "bacterial SSU rRNA". It matches the Rfam family "Bacterial small subunit ribosomal RNA", at positions 28 to 526 of the family's 1533-position model. The record is from RNAcentral.